GGUGAACCUGGUGUAAGGAUGUAGGGCUGACGAUAGGCAAAUCCGUCGUCUGUAUGCCUGAGAUCCGACGCGUACCCGUAAGGGGAAAUCAGUGAUCCUAUGCUGCCGAGAAAAGCAUCGACGCGAGGUUGCAGCCGCCCGUACCCGAAACCGACUCAGGUGGUCAGGUAGAGAAUACCAAGGAGAUCGAGAGAAUCGUGGUUAAGGAACUCGGCAAAAUGCCCCCGUAACUUCGGGAGAAGGGGGGCCGGACACGUGACCGGAUUUACUCCGUGAGCGUUGAAGGCCGCAGAGACCAGUGGGAAGCGACUGUUUACUAAAAACACAGGUCCGUGCGAAGUCGCAAGACGAUGUAUACGGACUGACGCCUGCCCGGUGCUGGAAGGUUAAGAGGAGGGGUUAGCCUUUGGGCGAAGCUCUGAAUUUAAGCCCCAGUAAACGGCGGUGGUAACUAUAACCAUCCUAAGGUAGCGAAAUUCCUUGUCGGGUAAGUUCCGACCUGCACGAAUGGCGUAACGACUUCCCAGCUGUCUCAACCGCGAACUCGGCGAAAUUGCACUACGAGUAAAGAUGCUCGUUACGCGCAGCAGGACGGAAAGACCCCGUGACCUUUACUACAGUUUGGUAUUGGUGUUCGGUGUGGCUUGUGUAGGAUAGGUGGGAGACUGUGAAGCGGGCACGCUAGUGUUCGUGGAGUCAUUGUUGAAAUACCACUCUGGUCACUCUGGAUGUCUAACGUAGGACCCUGAUCGGGUUCAUGGACAGUGCCUGAUGGGUAGUUUAACUGGGGCGGUUGCCUCCCAAAGAGUAACGGAGGCGCCCAAAGGUUCCCUCAACCUGGUUGGCAAUCAGGUGGCGAGUGUAAGUGCACAAGGGAGCUUGACUGUGAGACUGACAGGUCGAGCAGGGACGAAAGUCGGGACUAGUGAUCCGGCAGUGGCUUGUGGAAGCGCUGUCGCUCAACGGAUAAAAGGUACCUCGGGGAUAACAGGCUGAUCUUGCCCAAGAGUCCAUAUCGACGGCAUGGUUUGGCACCUCGAUGUCGGCUCGUCGCAUCCUGGGGCUGGAGUAGGUCCCAAGGGUUGGGCUGUUCGCCCAUUAAAGCGGUACGCGAGCUGGGUUUAGAACGUCGUGAGACAGUUCGGUCCCUAUCCGCUGCGCGCGUUGGAAAUUUGAGAAGAUCUAUCCCUAGUACGAGAGGACCGGGAUGGACGAACCUCUGGUGUGUCAGUUGUUCUGCCAAGGGCACCGCUGAUUAGCUACGUUCGGACCGGAUAACCGCUGAAAGCAUCUAAGCGGGAAGCCGUCUUCGAGAUGAGAUUUCCAUGCACCUUGAGUGUGAGAGGCUCCCAGCAGACUACUGGGUUGAUAGGCCGGAUGUGGAAGCGGGGACUAACGACCCGUGGAGCUGACCGGUACUAAUAAGCCGAAGACUUGACAA
RNAcentral lists this ribosomal RNA (1441 nucleotides) under Curtobacterium sp. PhB130. RNAcentral's name for it is "bacterial LSU rRNA". It matches the Rfam family "Bacterial large subunit ribosomal RNA", at positions 1500 to 2925 of the family's 2925-position model. Lineage: Bacteria; Bacillati; Actinomycetota; Actinomycetes; Micrococcales; Microbacteriaceae. The record is from RNAcentral.